ACUUCCAAGAAGGGCCAGGCCAAACGGCCGUUCCCCCUGGCGGCGCCUCCUCCGCUCGCUCCGGCACAGCCCCCUCUUUCCAGAGCGCGGCCGCUGGGAGGUACACAGCGGAGCAAGACGCUCCCCGCUUUCUCGACCGAUUGCCGUUGGAACCCGGUUCAGGGCGCUGCCUCCUCCACCGGAGCACCGCCGUCUCCUCCGGCGUCCUCGACCCGCAGAGAUCGCCGCCACCGUUGACCGCGUUUCCGCGGACGCCGCCGCCAGGGUUCGGCAAGGCUGAAAACUUCGACAUCCCGUCCAUUGGAAGAAAAGGUCUUCGUCCUCGUGAAUCCUAAAGAAGAGAUAAAGAGUGGUGAUGCAUUCAAGAACGCGGUGAAGGUUAAGAAGAAAAACGAACACCCGGACACGAGGAGGAACGGCAGAUCAGCCCCAUAUUGCACAAGUGGGCAAAGCAGAAUAGAGACAUUGCAGAAAAAGCCCAACCCAGGGUUACGCUACGCAAGCAGGAAAUUGCAACUGAAACCUACAACGAAGAGCGGCAGACAUUAGAUUGUUAUCACCAUCUACACAAGAAAGAAGCCAGGUUUUGGAAUAAUACAGCUUAAGGCACGUCCUGAACUACAAAGGUCAAGGAAUCUGAACAAUCAGGACCAAUUGCAAUUUACGACAGCAGGUGGAAUACUCUACUACAACGACAUAAUUCAGAGAAGAAGGUGAAAAGGUGGUAAGAAAGAACAGGGAAGGCAAUACACUAACACAACAACCCCACCGCAGCCACCGGAUCCAGGUUCGCUGGUGGAUAGGUAUGGGCUCGGCGGCUUUGAUCUUGACAUUUUUUGUCUCUCGAAACAUGGCAUAACAAAGCAGGAUAGAAUAGGUGGGUUUAUAAUGAAGAGGAAAUGAAGAGAAUGUGAUAUUCGAUGUGUUCUAGUUUUCUGGGGUUACAUACUCUUACCUGUAAAACUAGCGAACCAUUUGUUUCGCUCCAUUGCCACUGAUAUAUUCUGAACUGAAACAAAGAUAA
Molecule: long non-coding RNA, 1024 nt
Organism: Triticum dicoccoides
Lineage: Eukaryota; Viridiplantae; Streptophyta; Magnoliopsida; Poales; Poaceae
Exons: 2
Source: RefSeq, a predicted model, not a curated record